RNAcentral lists this small nucleolar RNA (133 nucleotides) under Acanthisitta chloris (rifleman). RNAcentral describes it as "Small nucleolar RNA SNORA15". It matches the Rfam family "Small nucleolar RNA SNORA15". From Rfam's summary of the family: ACA15 is a member of the H/ACA class of snoRNA that guide the sites of modification of uridines to pseudouridines. Lineage: Eukaryota; Metazoa; Chordata; Aves; Passeriformes; Acanthisittidae. The record is from Rfam by way of RNAcentral.
GCAUGGAUGAAUUCUGCACUAGCUUUCCUCCAUAGCUAGUGCAGUCAGACACCAUGCCAGAGCAAAUUCCUUUUUCACUCUGCUUAGUGUGCUGCUUAUUUGGAAUAGGCAUGCCCUUGGAAGAGGAAUACAU